Molecule: RNA transcript, 1231 nt
Organism: Mus musculus (house mouse)
Lineage: Eukaryota; Metazoa; Chordata; Mammalia; Rodentia; Muridae
Gene: Speer1i
Gene name: spermatogenesis associated glutamate (E)-rich protein 1I
Exons: 5
Source: RefSeq, a predicted model, not a curated record
GUUCUUGGCAUCUCCUGUGAUGUCACCAGUGUUGUAGCAACAAGCUCAUAUAGGAUUCUCACUCAGUGUCUAGCCACUAGGUUGGUGAACAUGUUUGCUCGACUCUGCAAUCUUUUUGGGAGAGCCAGUGUGGAUGGGAGAGAGACCAGAGAGAGGAGGAAGGGUGCUGGCCUUCCAUCUGAGAGUAAUGAAGGACGAAGGAGGUGGACUUGGAGAAUGUGGAGGGCUCGAAGACACACAUCAUCCACUGCACCUGACCUAAGUAAGAAGGAGUUCAAAAAGGAAAAAGAGAGGCUGACCACAGAGCUGCACCUCCUCAUUCAGCUGAGAAAUGAGCAGAGAGAUCACCUGAUCGAUUUCAAAGAGAGUUCCAAUUACAAUAGGACCAAGCCCACCCAGAAGAAAAAUCCAUUCUAUGAACAACUGAGAUCAACCAAGGACCAGGUCCUGUCUUCUGUGUAUAAGUUAGAGAUGGGGAUAAUUGAGGCCCAAGAGAAUAUCCAGGAGCUCAAUAAGUGGAUAGACUACUUUACAAACCUACAUAGCCAGCUCUUGAUGGAGAAGAAUCUUAAGAUGUCCAUCACACAGAACCAGAAGAACAAGGAAGUACAGAUUGAUUGGGCUCUCAUUGAGAAAUAUUUGGUUGCCUUGAACCUGAAUGGACAAACAGGAGCAGACCAGCAACCAUGAGACCCAACAACUUCAGGACUCAGCGACUCCAGCAAGAGCUGAAAUGUCCACAUCCCAGGAAGAGAGCCUCCUGCAGAAUGAGUUUCCACCUCAGGAGCCCCCUGCUGAACUCCAUCCCCAACAUCCACAGUCUACCUUGAAUGAAUCUUCUUACACUCAGUACAUUUACAAGGUGUGAAUAGGAGGAAGCCAGUGAGCCAGCUGAUUCAGGGUGUUGUUCCCUUUCCUGUUCUGGCAACACCACUUGAGAAACAACUGAGGUGACUGCCCCUCCAACAGCAGUCCAAGAGGAGAUACAGGCUGUAGGUCUGUACUCCUUAACAUGCAGUGAAAGGGUGCUGAUGUUCAAUCAUUUUCUGUUCAAGUUUUGGUUAAAGUUUUGCUCUUUAUUGUUUUAUUUAGUUUUUAGGUUUUGCUGAAGUUAUAUGUUCUUAUUUGGUUUUCAUGGUUGAAUUUUUCUUUUCAUCUCUUUUUAGUAUUGUACUUUUAAAGCCUGUUUAUUAAACAUUGUAUUUCCAGUAAAUAAAAGUUGAUUUACAAC